GACGAACGCUGGCGGCGUGCUUAACACAUGCAAGUCGAACGAUGAACCACUUCGGUGGGGAUUAGUGGCGAACGGGUGAGUAACACGUGGGCAAUCUGCCCUUCACUCUGGGACAAGCCCUGGAAACGGGGUCUAAUACCGGAUAACACUGUCACGGGCAUCUGUGGUGGUUAAAAGCUCCGGCGGUGAAGGAUGGAGCCCGNGGCCUAUCAGCUUGUUGGUGAGGUAAUGGCCACCAAGGCGACGACGGGUAGCCGGCCUGAGAGGGCGACCGGCCACACUGGGACUGAGACACGGCCCAGACUCCUACGGGAGGCAGCAGUGGGGAAUAUUGCACAAUGGGCGAAAGCCUGAUGCAGCGACGCCGCGUGA
Molecule: ribosomal RNA, 372 nt
Filed under: uncultured bacterium
Lineage: Bacteria
Description: bacterial SSU rRNA
Rfam family: Bacterial small subunit ribosomal RNA
Source: RNAcentral